Molecule: small nuclear RNA, 115 nt
Organism: Trichomycterus rosablanca
Lineage: Eukaryota; Metazoa; Chordata; Actinopteri; Siluriformes; Trichomycteridae
Product: U5 spliceosomal RNA
Exons: 1
Source: RefSeq, a predicted model, not a curated record
AUAUUCUAGUUUCUCUUCAUCUCGUAUAAAUCUUUCGCCUUUUACUAAAGAUUUCCGUGGAGAGGAACAUCAAGAAUAUUAUCUAAAUUGUUGAUGCCCUGCUGAGAGGGGGGGU